GAUGAAGAACGUAGCGAAAUGCGAUAAUUAAUGUGAAUUGCAGAAUUCCGUGAAUCAUCGAGUCUUUGAACGCACAUUGCGCCUCAUGGCAUUCCGUGAGGCAUGCCCAUCUCAGCGUUAGAAAAUAUUCUCAAAUUUUAGUUUUGUGCUAAAAUUUGGAUCAUGUCAAGGAAGCUAUUACUAUUAUUGUGAUCGCUCUUUGGAAAUUGAUAGGUCUUUGAGUUGCUACUCAUAGAACGUGAUGAAUCUUUCUUCGUUCUAUUGUAAUUCACUCUGGUAGUCCUGAAACUUGUAUGCCUGUGGCAUAUCUUGUAAUUUGACCUGAGAUUGGGUAGGGAUACCCGCUGAACUUAAGCAUAUCAAUAAGCGGAGGA
RNAcentral lists this unclassified non-coding RNA (374 nucleotides) under soil metagenome. RNAcentral's name for it is "partial contains internal transcribed spacer 2 and large subunit ribosomal RNA". The stretch from base 1 to 120 matches the Rfam family "5.8S ribosomal RNA", at positions 35 to 154 of the family's 154-position model. The record is from RNAcentral.